GCUAAAAAUCUAGCCCCACAUCAAUUGAUACCCACACAAUUCCUCUCACCUCUAAAUCAAAACAUUUUUUUAGUCUAGUAAAGGAGAUUGAAAAACUUCUAGGGAGCAAUACAUGUAGUACCGCAAGGGAAAGAUGAAAUAAAAAUGAAACUACAUUAAGCACAAAAAAGUAGAGGUUUACUCUCGUACCUUUUGCAUCAUGGUUCAACUAGUCAAAUCAAGCAAAAUGACUUAAAGUUUGACACCCCGAAACUAAGCGAGCUACUUCAGGGCAGCUAAACGAGCAAACCCGUCUCUGUUGCAAAAGAGUGGGAAGACCCUUAAGUAGGGGUGAUAGACCUAACGAGCCUAGUGAUAGCUGGUUACUUAAGAAACGGAUUUUAGUCCAACCUAGAAUUAAGAUAAUACCAAUAAAUAGAAGCCUAAUUCUAGAGCCAUUCAAAUAAGGUACAGCCUAUUUGAAACAGGAUACAACCUCCACAAAUGGGUAAUUAAAUUUUAACAAAAAUCAAGUGGGCCUAAAAGCAGCCAUCUUUGGAAAAGCGUCAAAGCUUUAUUUUUUCCUCAAAAAAUUUCAAAAAUCAUUAAAAACCCUUAACUUCUAUUAAGUAUUUUCAUACCCCCUAUGAAACCUAUAAUGUUGAUACUAGUAACAAGAAGAAGCCCUUCUCUCAAAUGCAAGCGUACAUCAGUAAGGACCCUCCACUGAUAAUUAACGUCCAUGAACAAAAAGUAGCAACUUCACAAGAAAACCCUACUGCACUCAACGUUAACCUAACACAAGAGCAUUACGAGAAAGAUUAAAAGGAAAAGAAGGAACUCGGCAAAUAUUAACCUCGCCUGUUUACCAAAAACAUCGCCUCUUGCUAGCCAUAAGAGGUACAGCCUGCCCAGUGACUCUGUUUAACGGCCGCGGUAUCCUAACCGUGCGAAGGUAGCGUAAUCACUUGUUCUUUAAAUGAGGACUAGUAUGAAUGGCAUCACGAGGGUUAUACUGUCUCCUUUUCCCAAUCAGUGAAACUAAUCUCCCCGUGAAGAAGCGGGGAUAAAAAUAUAAGACGAGAAGACCCUAUGGAGCUUUAAACUAGAUUACAUCUGCUUAACACACAAAAAUUUCAGAAAAGUAAGAUUUAUCCAAGCACUAUGUUAAUUAGUUUUAGGUUGGGGUGACCGCGGAGUAAAACUCACCCUCCGCAUUGAACAAGAUUGUUUCUUUAGCUAAAAGCUACAACUUUAAGCACCAAUAAAUUGACAUUAUUGACCCAAUAUUUUGAUCAACGAACCAAGUUACCCUAGGGAUAACAGCGCAAUCCACUUCAAGAGCUCCUAUCGACAAGUGGGUUUACGACCUCGAUGUUGGAUCAGGGUAUCCCAGUGGUGCAGCCGCUACUAAAGGUUCGUUUGUUCAACGAUUAAAACCCU
RNAcentral lists this ribosomal RNA (1422 nucleotides) under Cyclorana australis (Australian water-holding frog). RNAcentral's name for it is "Ranoidea australis partial 16S ribosomal RNA". It matches the Rfam family "Bacterial large subunit ribosomal RNA", at positions 133 to 2597 of the family's 2925-position model. The record is from RNAcentral. Lineage: Eukaryota; Metazoa; Chordata; Amphibia; Anura; Pelodryadidae.